AUGUGUCUGGAAAGUUUACUAACGUAAAACAUCUCAUCCCUUUUCAGUCCUGCCAGUUGAAUAAAGGGUUACCCUUCAUGGGACUGACUUGGCAGGGGGUCAUUCGAACAGUUCCUAGCAUUUAUUAUUACUUUUCUCUCUUCAGCGCCUCUGUUUGAAUGGAAGCACAGGGCAAGAGGUGAUCAUCAAUUCUGGCCUGGAGACGGUAGAAGCUUUGGCUUUUGAACCUCUCAGCCAGCUGCUUUACUGGGUAGAUGCGGGCUUCAAAAAGAUUGAGGUAGCUAAUCCAGAUGGCGACUUCCGACUCACAAUCGUCAAUUCCUCUGUGCUCGAUCGUCCCAGGGCUCUGGUCCUCGUGCCCCAAGAGGGGGUGAUGUUCUGGACAGACUGGGGAGACCUGAAGCCUGGGAUUUAUCGGAGCAAUAUGGAUGGUUCUGCUGCCUAUCGCCUGGUGUCAGAGGAUGUGAAGUGGCCCAAUGGCAUCUCUGUGGACGACCAGUGGAUUUACUGGACGGAUGCCUACCUGGACUGCAUAGAGCGGAUCACGUUCAGUGGCCAGCAGCGCUCCGUCAUUCUGGACAACCUCCCGCACCCCUAUGCCAUUGCUGUCUUUAAG
This 616-nucleotide small RNA is filed under the name Pongo abelii (Sumatran orangutan). RNAcentral's name for it is "retained intron". The record is from RNAcentral. Lineage: Eukaryota; Metazoa; Chordata; Mammalia; Primates; Hominidae.